UACGGAGGGGGCUAGCGUUUGUUCGGAAUUACUGGGCGUAAAGCGCACGUAGGCGGCUUUGUAAAGUUAGAGGUGAAAGCCCGGGGCUCAACUCCGGAAUUGCCUUUAAGACUGCAUCGCUCGAGUUGUGGAGAGGUAAGUGGAAUUCCGAGUGUAGAGGUGAAAUUCGUAGAUAUUCGGAAGAACACCAGUGGCGAAGGCGACUUACUGGACACAUACUGACGCUGAGGUGCGAAAGCGUGGGGAGCAAACAGG
RNAcentral lists this ribosomal RNA (255 nucleotides) under uncultured bacterium. RNAcentral's name for it is "partial 16S ribosomal RNA". It matches the Rfam family "Bacterial small subunit ribosomal RNA", at positions 524 to 776 of the family's 1533-position model. The record is from RNAcentral.